AUCAACUUCCCCUACCUCUACAUCGUGGCUUCCAUGAUGCUCAACGUACGCCUGCAGAACCCCCAGCCCCAUUUUGUGGUUCGUUCCCUAAAACGCUCUUGAUGAUGAUGAUGGUAGCUGCUGUUUAUGGAACGCUGGUCAGAGAAGAUGCCAGGUGUUCACACAGUGAGUUCCCACAGCACGCUGAGGACAGAGGAUGGCCUGAAGACAGCCCACGUCUGAGCGCACCUUUAGCAGGCAGGUUCAUAUUGAGAUCCACUGAAGGCCUUCCACUUACUGACAGGAGUGUCAUCAGGCUCAC
This 301-nucleotide long non-coding RNA is filed under the name Ursus maritimus (polar bear). Its description in RNAcentral is "lncRNA (ENSUMAG00000008774.1)". The record is from RNAcentral. Lineage: Eukaryota; Metazoa; Chordata; Mammalia; Carnivora; Ursidae.